This 1071-nucleotide ribosomal RNA is filed under the name Triticum aestivum (bread wheat). RNAcentral describes it as "partial small subunit ribosomal RNA". Lineage: Eukaryota; Viridiplantae; Streptophyta; Magnoliopsida; Poales; Poaceae. The record is from RNAcentral.
AUGAACAAGAAUCUAGUUAGCGGCUCCCUUCUAUGUCGAGAUGGAUUUAAGGUAGUUUUAGAGUCCAAUAAAGUAAUCGUGUCAAGAUUUGGACAAUUUAUAGGAAAAGGCUAUGAGUGCGGAGGCUUGUUCCGCUUUUCUCUUUCAGAUUUUUGCAAUAAGUCAAUAAACCAAAUUUGUGCUAGUGUUAAUGAUGAUGCAAGUAUUUGGCACUCUCGUUUAUGUCAUAUUAAUUUUGGUUUAAUGUCUCGGCUAUUCAGCAUGAGUUUAAUUACGAACUUCACAGUUGCCAAAGGUUCUAAGUGCCAUAGUUGUGUGCAAUCUAAGCAACCUCGAAAGCCUCAUAAGGCUGCCGAGGAGAGAAACUUGGCGCCUCUAGAACUCAUACAUUCUGAUCUUUGUGAGAUGAAUGGUGUGUUGACAAAAGGUGGAAAGAGAUAUUUCAUGACUUUGAUUGAUGAUGUGACUAGAUUUUGCUAUGUUUAUUUGUUGCAAACUAAAGAUGAAGCAUUAGACUACUUUAAAAUCUAUAAAGCUGAAGUUGAAAAUCAACUAGAGAGAAAGAUCAAGCGUCUUAGGUCCGAUCGUGGUGGAGAGUAUUUUCCAAAAGUUUUUGAUGAAUUUUGUGAGGAAUAUGGUAUUAUUCAUGAGAGGACGCCUCCCUAUUCACCUCAAUCAAAUGGAGUGGCCGAGAGGAAAAACCGCACAUUGACUGACUUGGUGAAUGCCAUGUUAGACACUGCUGGUUUAUCUAAGGCAUGGUGGGGGGAGGCUCUAUUGACUUCAUGUCAUGUCCUGAAUAGAGUUCCCAACAAUAAUAAAGAGAAAACCCCUUAUGAGGAGUGGGUUGGGAGAAAACCAUCACUUUCUUAUUUGCGCACUUGGGGAUGUUUGGCAAAGGUCAAUAUUCCUAUUCCUAAGAAACGCAAACUUGGACCAAAGACAGUGGAUUGUGUCUUUCUAGGGUAUGCUCAACGGAGCAUUGCUUAUAGGUUUUUAGUGGUAAAAUCUGAAGUACCUGAUAUGCAUGUUGAUACUAUAAUGGAAUCUCGUGAUGCAACAUUUUUUUAG